This 1541-nucleotide ribosomal RNA is filed under the name Escherichia coli. RNAcentral's name for it is "bacterial SSU rRNA". It matches the Rfam family "Bacterial small subunit ribosomal RNA". The record is from RNAcentral. Lineage: Bacteria; Pseudomonadati; Pseudomonadota; Gammaproteobacteria; Enterobacterales; Enterobacteriaceae.
AAAUUGAAGAGUUUGAUCAUGGCUCAGAUUGAACGCUGGCGGCAGGCCUAACACAUGCAAGUCGAACGGUAACAGGAAGCAGCUUGCUGCUUUGCUGACGAGUGGCGGACGGGUGAGUAAUGUCUGGGAAACUGCCUGAUGGAGGGGGAUAACUACUGGAAACGGUAGCUAAUACCGCAUAACGUCGCAAGACCAAAGAGGGGGACCUUCGGGCCUCUUGCCAUCGGAUGUGCCCAGAUGGGAUUAGCUAGUAGGUGGGGUAAAGGCUCACCUAGGCGACGAUCCCUAGCUGGUCUGAGAGGAUGACCAGCCACACUGGAACUGAGACACGGUCCAGACUCCUACGGGAGGCAGCAGUGGGGAAUAUUGCACAAUGGGCGCAAGCCUGAUGCAGCCAUGCCGCGUGUAUGAAGAAGGCCUUCGGGUUGUAAAGUACUUUCAGCGGGGAGGAAGGGAGUAAAGUUAAUACCUUUGCUCAUUGACGUUACCCGCAGAAGAAGCACCGGCUAACUCCGUGCCAGCAGCCGCGGUAAUACGGAGGGUGCAAGCGUUAAUCGGAAUUACUGGGCGUAAAGCGCACGCAGGCGGUUUGUUAAGUCAGAUGUGAAAUCCCCGGGCUCAACCUGGGAACUGCAUCUGAUACUGGCAAGCUUGAGUCUCGUAGAGGGGGUAGAAUUCCAGGUGUAGCGGUGAAAUGCGUAGAGAUCUGGAGGAAUACCGGUGGCGAAGGCGGCCCCCUGGACGAAGACUGACGCUCAGGUGCGAAAGCGUGGGGAGCAAACAGGAUUAGAUACCCUGGUAGUCCACGCCGUAAACGAUGUCGACUUGGAGGUUGUGCCCUUGAGGCGUGGCUUCCGGAGCUAACGCGUUAAGUCGACCGCCUGGGGAGUACGGCCGCAAGGUUAAAACUCAAAUGAAUUGACGGGGGCCCGCACAAGCGGUGGAGCAUGUGGUUUAAUUCGAUGCAACGCGAAGAACCUUACCUGGUCUUGACAUCCACGGAAGUUUUCAGAGAUGAGAAUGUGCCUUCGGGAACCGUGAGACAGGUGCUGCAUGGCUGUCGUCAGCUCGUGUUGUGAAAUGUUGGGUUAAGUCCCGCAACGAGCGCAACCCUUAUCCUUUGUUGCCAGCGGUCCGGCCGGGAACUCAAAGGAGACUGCCAGUGAUAAACUGGAGGAAGGUGGGGAUGACGUCAAGUCAUCAUGGCCCUUACGACCAGGGCUACACACGUGCUACAAUGGCGCAUACAAAGAGAAGCGACCUCGCGAGAGCAAGCGGACCUCAUAAAGUGCGUCGUAGUCCGGAUUGGAGUCUGCAACUCGACUCCAUGAAGUCGGAAUCGCUAGUAAUCGUGGAUCAGAAUGCCACGGUGAAUACGUUCCCGGGCCUUGUACACACCGCCCGUCACACCAUGGGAGUGGGUUGCAAAAGAAGUAGGUAGCUUAACCUUCGGGAGGGCGCUUACCACUUUGUGAUUCAUGACUGGGGUGAAGUCGUAACAAGGUAACCGUAGGGGAACCUGCGGUUGGAUCACCUCCUUA